This 377-nucleotide unclassified non-coding RNA is filed under the name uncultured Pseudomonadota bacterium. RNAcentral's name for it is "uncultured proteobacterium contains 16S-23S intergenic spacer region". The record is from RNAcentral. Lineage: Bacteria; Pseudomonadati; Pseudomonadota.
UCCGGUUUAACACCGGCAGUCUCCUCAGAGUGCCCAACUUAAUGGUGGCAACUAAGGACAAGGGUUGCGCUCGUUGCGGGACUUAACCCUACAUCUUACGACACGAGCUGACGACAGCCAUGCAGCACCUAUCUCACUGUCCCCGAAGGGAAAGCCCCAUCUCUGGAGUUGUCAGUGGAUGUUAAGACCAGGUAAGGUUCUGCGCGUUGCUUCGAAUUAAACCACAUACUCCACCGCUUGUGCGGGCCCCCGUCAAUUCCUUUGAGUUUCAGUCUUGCGACCGUACUCCCCAGGCGGCGAACUCAACGCGUUAGCUUCGAUACUGCGUGCCAAAUUGCACCCAACAUCCAGUUCGCAUCGUUUAGGGCGUGGACUAC